AUACGUAGGGGGCGAGCGUUGUCCGGAAUGACUGGGCGUAAAGGGCGUGUAGGCGGCGGUGUAAGUCUGGAGUGAAAGUCCCGCAUUCGAUGUGGGAAUUGCUUUGGAUACUGCAGUGCUAGAGUGCGGAAGAGGUAAGUGGAAUUACCAGUGUAGCGGUGAAAUGCGUAGAGAUUGGGAGGAACACCAGUGGCGAAGGCGACUUACUGGGCCGUAACUGACGCUGAGGCGCGAAAGCGUGGGGAGCGAACAGGAUUAGAUACCCUGGUAGUCCACGCGGUAAACGAUGAAUGCUAGGUGUUGCGGGUAUCGACCCCUGCAGUGCCGGAGUAAACACAAUAAGCAUUCCGCCUGGGGAGUACGGCCGCAAGGUUGAAACUCAAAUGAAUUGACGGGG
This 397-nucleotide ribosomal RNA is filed under the name uncultured bacterium. RNAcentral's name for it is "partial 16S ribosomal RNA". It matches the Rfam family "Bacterial small subunit ribosomal RNA", at positions 523 to 918 of the family's 1533-position model. The record is from RNAcentral.